AUUGAACGCUGGCGGCAUGCCUUACACAUGCAAGUCGAACGUUAACGGGCCUUCGGGUGCCGACGAGUGGCGUACGGGUGAGUAAUGUAUCGGAACGUACCUUUUAGUGGGGGAUAACGUAGCGAUAGUUACGCUAAUACCGCAUAUUCUGUGCGCAUGAAAGCAGGGGAUCGCAAGACCUUGCGCUGAUUGAGCGGCCGAUAGCAGAUUAGCUAGUUGGUGAGGUAAAGGCUGACCAAGGCGACGAUCUGUAUCGGGUCUGAGAGGAUGUUCCGCCACACUGGGACCGAGAUACGGUCCAGUCUUAUACGGGAGUCAGCAGUAGGGAAUGUUGGACAAUGGGGGCAACCUUGAUCCAUCCAUGCCGCGUGAGUGAUGAAGGCCUUCGGGUUGGAAAGCUCUUUCGGCCGGUAAGAAAUCGCAUGGGCUAAUACCCUGUGCGGAUGACGGUACCGGCAUAAGAAGCACCGGCUAACUACGUGCCAGCAGCCGCAGUAA
RNAcentral lists this ribosomal RNA (498 nucleotides) under uncultured bacterium. Its description in RNAcentral is "partial 16S ribosomal RNA". It matches the Rfam family "Bacterial small subunit ribosomal RNA", at positions 30 to 523 of the family's 1533-position model. The record is from RNAcentral.